AUUGAACGCUGGCGGCAUGCUUUACACAUGCAAGUCGAACGGCAGCGCGGGCUUCGGCCUGGCGGCGAGUGGCGAACGGGUGAGUAAUGCAUCGGAACGUGCCCAGUAGUGGGGGAUAGCCCGGCGAAAGCCGGAUUAAUACCGCAUACGACCUGAGGGUGAAAGCGGGGGACCGAAAGGCCUCGCGCUAUUGGAGCGGCCGAUGUCGGAUUAGCUAGUUGGUGGGGUAAAGGCUUACCAAGGCGACGAUCCGUAGCUGGUCUGAGAAGACGACCAGCCACACUGGGACUGAGACACGGCCCAGACUCCUACGGGAGGCAGCAGUGGGGAAUUUUGGACAAUGGGGGCAACCCUGAUCCAGCCAUGCCGCGUGCGGGAAGAAGGCCUUCGGGUUGUAAACCGCUUUUGUUCGGGAAGAAAUCCUCUGGGCUAAUACCCCGGGGGGAUGACGGUACCGGAAGAAUGAGCACCGGCUAACUACGUG
RNAcentral lists this ribosomal RNA (484 nucleotides) under uncultured bacterium. RNAcentral's name for it is "partial 16S ribosomal RNA". It matches the Rfam family "Bacterial small subunit ribosomal RNA", at positions 28 to 507 of the family's 1533-position model. The record is from RNAcentral.